CACCACACGAGUACAUACGAGUAACAACUGUAACAUACGAGUAACACACAAGUACAUACGAGUACAUACGAGCAACACACGAGUACAUACGAGUAACAUACGAGUGCAUACGAGUAACACACGAGUACAUACGAGUAACAUACGAGUAAAACACAAGUACAUACGAGUACAUACGAGUAGAAUACGAGUACAUACGAGUAAAAUACGACUAGUAAACUUGUUUUUAGUGUUUGUAGAUUGAAUACAGGCAAAAAGAUCGUCUUUUCUGUCGAAAAACGUGGAAUUGGGGAACGGGGAAUGGAGGAACAGGGAAUGGAGG
Molecule: non-coding RNA, 319 nt
Organism: Paramuricea clavata
Lineage: Eukaryota; Metazoa; Cnidaria; Anthozoa; Malacalcyonacea; Plexauridae
Source: the annotation of a GenBank genome assembly